UACGGAGGGUGCAAGCGUUAUCCGGAUUUACUGGGUUUAAAGGGUGUGUAGGCGGACUUUUAAGUCAGCGGUGAAAUCUCCGGGCUCAACCCGGAAACUGCCAUUGAUACUAUUAGUCUUGAAUAUUGUUGAGGUAGGCGGAACGGGUCAUGUAGCGGUGAAAUGCAUAGAUAUGACCCGGAACACCGAUUGCGAAGGCAGCCUACUAAGCAAUUAUUGACGCUGAGGCACGAAAGCGUGGGGAAUCAAACAGGAGUUAG
Molecule: ribosomal RNA, 260 nt
Filed under: uncultured bacterium
Lineage: Bacteria
Description: partial 16S ribosomal RNA
Rfam family: Bacterial small subunit ribosomal RNA
Source: RNAcentral